AGCAGUGUGGCUCAGUGGAAAGAGCACAGGCUUGGGAGUCAGAGGUCAUGAGUUCAAAUCCCAGCUCUGCCA
Molecule: transfer RNA, 72 nt
Filed under: Ornithorhynchus anatinus (platypus)
Lineage: Eukaryota; Metazoa; Chordata; Mammalia; Monotremata; Ornithorhynchidae
Rfam family: tRNA
About the family: Transfer RNA (tRNA) molecules are approximately 80 nucleotides in length.
Source: Rfam by way of RNAcentral